AUAUAAUUUUCAACAAACAUGGAUAAUAGGCAGAAGGAGCACAUUACAAUUUGUCUCUGCAGUAAAACCAAUCCUAAUCAAUUAACGGAAGUAAAAUAGUUUAGAUUCUGUUGACUGGAUGUAAAAACAUAGGGCUAUUAGAGCAAUAACUCAAUGUUAUUUUUAAGGUUUGCAUUUGUAAUAAUUAACAUCCUUCAAGUCUAUUAACCUUUAUUUACCAUAAAAAUAGGUAGCAGAAAAAAAGAGAAACAGUUAAACGCAUAGUAAAUAUGUUUUUGUAAAUGAUGUCCUGUUUUUGUAAGUCAUUAUUUUACAUAAAUAUGCAUUCCUUUUCAAAUGUAUAAUAAACAAGCAAUAUAAUGAUCCAGACUGGGUUACUGUGAUGUCAUUAAUUGAACCAAAAAUGGAUCCUUAAUAGAUCAUUUGUGAAUGCCCUAAAGAUCAAACAUAUUUUUUGAAUAUGUAAGAAAAAAGUGUAAAUGGUUAAUAUAACGUGUUACAUCUACAUGUAAAAUAUAGUCUGUGCUAAUAAUAAUGCAGAUGACUUAAUUGCUAUACAGAAAUAGCUCAAUAAAAUAAACCCAAAA
This is a long non-coding RNA of Spea bombifrons (plains spadefoot toad), 587 nucleotides long. RefSeq lists it as uncharacterized. The record is from RefSeq and is a predicted model, not a curated record. The transcript has 2 exons. NCBI's taxonomy places the organism in Eukaryota, Metazoa, Chordata, Amphibia, Anura, Pelobatidae.